GUUUGCCACCAUACCACUCUGAACAUUCCUGAUCUUUUCUGAACUCAGAAGCUAAGCAGGACUGGACCUAGCACUUAGAUGGUAGAGAAUC
This 91-nucleotide ribosomal RNA is filed under the name Carlito syrichta (Philippine tarsier). Lineage: Eukaryota; Metazoa; Chordata; Mammalia; Primates; Tarsiidae. The record is from RNAcentral.